Molecule: ribosomal RNA, 541 nt
Filed under: uncultured archaeon
Lineage: Archaea
Description: bacterial SSU rRNA
Rfam family: Bacterial small subunit ribosomal RNA
Source: RNAcentral
CAGCAGCCGCGGUAAUACGUAGGGGGCAAGCGUUGUCCGGAAUUAUUGGGCGUAAAGGGUGCGUAGGCGGCCUUUUAAGUCAGAUGUGAAAGCCCACGGCUUAACCGUGGGAUUGCAUUUGAAACUGGAGGGCUUGAGUAUCGGAGAGGGUAGUGGAAUUCCCAGUGUAGCGGUGAAAUGCGUAGAUAUUGGGAGGAACACCAGUGGCGAAGGCGACUACCUGGACGAAAACUGACGCUGAUGCACGAAAGCUAGGGGAGCAAACAGGAUUAGAUACCCUGGUAGUCCUAGCCGUAAACGAUGGGUACUAGGUGUAGGGGGUUUCGAUACCCUCUGUGCCGGAGUUAACGCAUUAAGUACCCCGCCUGGGGAGUACGUGCGCAAGCAUGAAACUCAAAGGAAUUGACGGGGGCCCGCACAAGCGGUGGAGCAUGUGGUUUAAUUCGAAGCAACGCGAAGAACCUUACCAGGUCUUGACAUCCCUUGACAGCCUCAGAGAUGAGGUUUCUCUUCGGAGCAAGGAGACAGGAGGUGCAUGGCC